GGGGACAUAGCUCAGUUGGUAGAGUGCUUGCCUUGCAUGCACAAGGCCCUGGGUUCAAUCCCUUGCACCCCCC
Molecule: transfer RNA, 73 nt
Filed under: Ictidomys tridecemlineatus (thirteen-lined ground squirrel)
Lineage: Eukaryota; Metazoa; Chordata; Mammalia; Rodentia; Sciuridae
Description: Spermophilus tridecemlineatus (thirteen-lined ground squirrel) tRNA
Rfam family: tRNA
About the family: Transfer RNA (tRNA) molecules are approximately 80 nucleotides in length. Their secondary structure includes four short double-helical elements and three loops (D, anti-codon, and T loops). Further hydrogen bonds mediate the characteristic L-shaped molecular structure. tRNAs have two regions of fundamental functional importance: the anti-codon, which is responsible for specific mRNA codon recognition, and the 3' end, to which the tRNAs corresponding amino acid is attached (by aminoacyl-tRNA synthetases). tRNAs cope with the degeneracy of the genetic code in two manners: having more than one tRNA (with a specific anti-codon) for a particular amino acid; and 'wobble' base-pairing, i.e. permitting non-standard base-pairing at the 3rd anti-codon position.
Source: Rfam by way of RNAcentral